Molecule: small RNA, 2111 nt
Filed under: Histoplasma capsulatum var. duboisii H88
Lineage: Eukaryota; Fungi; Ascomycota; Eurotiomycetes; Onygenales; Ajellomycetaceae
Description: Histoplasma capsulatum H88 hypothetical RNA
Source: RNAcentral
UGAAUGGGAAUCGGAACCUUGACUCUGUUUAUCAUUUUCUCUUUUGAAUUUCUUUCCCCGUGGGAUCACUUGCUCAAUUUAUAGAGACUGAACUGGAUAUUUCCAAUCACAAUACGGAGGCGUAAAAGUCCUUGGUCUGGUUACAUUCCACGCUCAAUGGGCUACUUUAUCAACUUGGAUUGAAUACUUUAUCAGCUACAGUUUAUGUGUCUAUCGCAGGCUCAAUUCUCCGUAUCAGGCUUGAAUACAUCCUCCAUAUUUUAAGAUAUAACGAAAAGGUUUGCCCCCUAAGCAAUCCCGAGAAGACAACAAUAUUCAGAGCAAGGAUUUUAUUGUCGUGGCACCACCAGCUUUGGGGAUAUCAUUCACGAGAAUACUGCAAGGCGGGACAAAGGACCAGGAACGAGAGAACAACGGCAGAAACGGAAGAAAUAAUAACACUCUGCAUCCAAGGUGAGAGUCAAUAUUAUUACUACGCUCCGCCCCAUAUUUUCAAAAAAUCCUUCAAAAUUUAGGUCAUUACUUUGGCGUCAAAGAAGGGGGGAAAUUAAAGCAAAAAUGAAAAGAAACAAUCGCACAUCCACAUAUGCUGACCCCUUCUUGCUGUCUCUUCAACUAGUAUUCGUACGAUGCCUAAGUUCAAGUAAAGGACUAUCUCUUCGUAUGGCAAGUUGUGGGACAUAUGUCGUUUUAACAUGCAAUUAUAUCGUGAGACAAUAGCCUACUAGCUAAGGGAUUUUCUAAGUAGAAUCGGAUGGCAAAUUUGCUUUAAAACAAUUUUCCUUCCCCUUUUUUUUUUUUUUUUUUUUUUUCACUUUAUAUGAUUUUCCUUCUUUGGCCACUUACUCAGGCCGGGUGCGACGGCCUCUACCGGUGCCAGACGACCUGUAUUGUUGUUUUCUGUUAGCCUGCUUGUCGCUGGCACGGAAAAUAUGGACUCAAAGAUAAAUCGUGAUAAACUUACAUGCUGAUCCUUCUAGCAAUAUUAGUCAGACCAGUAUCAUUCUCUGCCUCCUGGGCAGCACGUUCCAAGGCUUGUUUCCGCUCCUCUUCAUUCCUCCUAAUCACUUCCUCGUGGGUUGGUGGAAGCCGCUCGUUCUGCAAAUCAACCUUGCGUGCAUCUUCGAAGUUAUGAAUUGCUUGCUUGAUACCCUCUGCUCCAAGCAUGAGGGUGCCUGCAGGAAGGCGGCCACCUGAGGCAGUUUUGAGUUCUGUGACUCGCUCUGCUUCCUCGCGUAGCACUUGGAAGACCCGCGAGAGACGACCAAUAGCUAGAAUCUUGUUCUUGAUCGCUCGUCUCUUAAAUUCGGUACUCUCGGGAUCCAUCGGAAGGGGGGGCGAUGCGCGGUCGGAAGAUACAGACGAAGAGGGUUCUUCCUCCAGCUCUUCUUUGGAGCAAGUAUUCAAAAUGGCGAUAAGCAUAUCGGUAAUCUUCUCACCGACAAAGGGGAGAGACCAGGUAAAAACGUCCAUGAAAUUAGGUAACCAGUAAGGAUGGGGAGUGCAAUUGAACUGUCUAAUGUUCAUUACGUUGUUCUCGUAUUUCAAAACGGCGGCUUUGUUGUUGUAAACGUCGAGAUAGUUUGGCGCACUGAAUAUCGUCAUUACGCUGGGGAACCCGGUCGUUCUGGUCUUCCUAUACAUUCUGUACCCUGCAUCCUGUGCUUCAUGGGCUCGAAUUAUGGAAAGUAAAUUGUUUUUUUCCAGGAAUGCGCAAGCGGCGGGGUAAGAGAAAAAGUAUGAACAUCCUCGAACGUUAUUGUGCACAAAAUAUUCACCUGUUUUCUCCUGACCAAAUUCCUCCAAUGGAUCAGCCCAAAGGAUAUCGCACAUGAGUCCUUGAGUCGGGGGCUCUCUAAAACGGUCGAUCGAUUUCAGGUCCUCUAAUGUAUGCAGUUCGGGGCUAAGACCACCAUGAAUGCAAAGGAACUGUUUGUUCAUAAUGGCCGCGAGUGGUAACGAGCAGAAUGAUUCCGUGCACGCAUCGUAGACUCUCUCCGAGUACUUGUGCUUACAUUCUAGUUUGAAAGUGAAAUAGUCUGUAAGAUGACGACACUCGUGAUUGCCGCGUAACAACCAUAAACUAUUUGGAUACCAUAUUUUCAAGGCCC